GCUAGUAAUCGCGGAUCAGCAUGCCGCGGUGAAUACGUUCCCGGGCCUUGUACACACCGCCCGUCAAACCAUGAGAGUUGGCAACACCCGAAGUCGGUAGUCUAACCGCAAGGAGGACGCCGCCGAAGGUGGGGUUGAUGAUUAGGGUUAAGUCGUAACAAGGUAUC
Molecule: ribosomal RNA, 167 nt
Filed under: uncultured bacterium
Lineage: Bacteria
Description: partial 16S ribosomal RNA
Rfam family: Bacterial small subunit ribosomal RNA
Source: RNAcentral